Molecule: ribosomal RNA, 371 nt
Filed under: uncultured bacterium
Lineage: Bacteria
Description: bacterial SSU rRNA
Rfam family: Bacterial small subunit ribosomal RNA
Source: RNAcentral
GGGGGGUGCGAGCGUUGUCCGGAAUCACUGGGCGUAAAGGGCGCGUAGGUGGUCUGAUAAGGGUGUGGUGAAAGCCCGGGGCUCAACCCCGGGUCGGCCGUGCCGACUGUUGGACUAGAGUGCUGUAGGGGCAGGCGGAAUUCCGGGUGUAGCGGUGGAAUGCGUAGAGAUCCGGAGGAAGACCGGUGGCGAAGGCGGCCUGCUGGGCAGUUACUGACACUGAGGCGCGACAGCGUGGGGAGCAAACAGGAUUAGAUACCCUGGUAGUCCACGCCGUAAACGAUGGGUACUAGGUGCCUGGGGGAGCGACCCCUUGGGUGCCGGCGCUAACGCAGGAAGUACCCCGCCUGGGGAGUACGACCGCAAGGUUG